ACCUGUUGUAGCUCAGUGGUAGAGCAUAUGUCGCAGGUUCGAUUCCUGCCUGCAGGUG
RNAcentral lists this transfer RNA (58 nucleotides) under Candidatus Poribacteria bacterium. Its description in RNAcentral is "tRNA-OTHER". It matches the Rfam family "tRNA". Rfam says of the family: Transfer RNA (tRNA) molecules are approximately 80 nucleotides in length. The record is from RNAcentral. Lineage: Bacteria; Candidatus Poribacteria.